This 1506-nucleotide ribosomal RNA is filed under the name metagenome. RNAcentral's name for it is "bacterial SSU rRNA". It matches the Rfam family "Bacterial small subunit ribosomal RNA". The record is from RNAcentral.
AGAGUUUGAUCAUGGCUCAGGACGAACGCUGGCGGCGUGCCUAAUACAUGCAAGUAGAACGCUGAAGAGAGGAGCUUGCUCUUCUUGGAUGAGUUGCGAACGGGUGAGUAACGCGUAGGUAACCUGCCUUGUAGCGGGGGAUAACUAUUGGAAACGAUAGCUAAUACCGCAUAACAAUGGAUGACACAUGUCAUUUAUUUGAAAGGGGCAAUUGUUCCACUACAAGAUGGACCUGCGUUGUAUUAGCUAGUAGGUGAGGUAAUGGCUCACCUAGGCGACGAUACAUAGCCGACCUGAGAGGGUGAUCGGCCACACUGGGACUGAGACACGGCCCAGACUCCUACGGGAGGCAGCAGUAGGGAAUCUUCGGCAAUGGGGGCAACCCUGACCGAGCAACGCCGCGUGAGUGAAGAAGGUUUUCGGAUCGUAAAGCUCUGUUGUAAGUCAAGAACGGGUGUGAGAGUGGAAAGUUCACACUGUGACGGUAGCUUACCAGAAAGGGACGGCUAACUACGUGCCAGCAGCCGCGGUAAUACGUAGGUCCCGAGCGUUGUCCGGAUUUAUUGGGCGUAAAGCGAGCGCAGGCGGUUUGAUAAGUCUGAAGUUAAAGGCUGUGGCUCAACCAUAGUUCGCUUUGGAAACUGUCAAACUUGAGUGCAGAAGGGGAGAGUGGAAUUCCAUGUGUAGCGGUGAAAUGCGUAGAUAUAUGGAGGAACACCGGUGGCGAAAGCGGCUCUCUGGUCUGUAACUGACGCUGAGGCUCGAAAGCGUGGGGAGCGAACAGGAUUAGAUACCCUGGUAGUCCACGCCGUAAACGAUGAGUGCUAGGUGUUGGAUCCUUUCCGGGAUUCAGUGCCGCAGCUAACGCAUUAAGCACUCCGCCUGGGGAGUACGACCGCAAGGUUGAAACUCAAAGGAAUUGACGGGGGCCCGCACAAGCGGUGGAGCAUGUGGUUUAAUUCGAAGCAACGCGAAGAACCUUACCAGGUCUUGACAUCCCGAUGCUAUUUCUAGAGAUAGAAAGUUACUUCGGUACAUCGGUGACAGGUGGUGCAUGGUUGUCGUCAGCUCGUGUCGUGAGAUGUUGGGUUAAGUCCCGCAACGAGCGCAACCCCUAUUGUUAGUUGCCAUCAUUCAGUUGGGCACUCUAGCGAGACUGCCGGUAAUAAACCGGAGGAAGGUGGGGAUGACGUCAAAUCAUCAUGCCCCUUAUGACCUGGGCUACACACGUGCUACAAUGGUUGGUACAACGAGUUGCGAGUCGGUGACGGCGAGCUAAUCUCUUAAAGCCAAUCUCAGUUCGGAUUGUAGGCAGCAACUCGCCUACAUGAAGUCGGAAUCGCUAGUAAUCGCGGAUCAGCACGCCGCGGUGAAUACGUUCCCGGGCCUUGUACACACCGCCCGUCACACCACGAGAGUUUGUAACACCCGAAGUCGGUGAGGUAACCUUUUGGAGCCAGCCGCCUAAGGUGGGACAGAUGAUUGGGGUGAAGUCGUAACAAGGUA